UCCAGGUUCUGAGUUUUCAGGUUCUGAGUUUUCAGGUUCUGAAUCCUAAGUUCAGAAUUCCAGGUUCUGAGUUUUCAGGUUCUGAAUCCUAACUUCUGAAUUCCAGGUUCUGAGUUUUCAGGUUCUGAAUCCUAAGUUCAGAAUUCCAGGUUCUGAAUUUUCAUGUUCUGAGUUUUCAGGUUCUGAAUCCUAACUUCAGAAUUCCAGGUUCUGAAUUUUCAUGUUCUGAG
Pangasianodon hypophthalmus (striped catfish) is the source of this 230-nucleotide long non-coding RNA. RefSeq lists it as uncharacterized. Lineage: Eukaryota; Metazoa; Chordata; Actinopteri; Siluriformes; Pangasiidae. The transcript is spliced from 3 exons. The record is from RefSeq and is a predicted model, not a curated record.